RNAcentral lists this unclassified non-coding RNA (235 nucleotides) under Hevea brasiliensis (rubber tree). The record is from RNAcentral. Lineage: Eukaryota; Viridiplantae; Streptophyta; Magnoliopsida; Malpighiales; Euphorbiaceae.
AUCGGAUGCCCAAUUGAGCCAAGAACAUUACAAGUGGGCCGUCGAGCAGCAGUAACUGGAGAUGACUCUGUCAUACCAUACCCAUUUUGCACUUUCACGCCAAUUGCCUCAAAAAAUUCAUCAACAUACGAUGGUAAACUACCACCUCCACUUAUGCCAGCCUUGCUCAUUCCAAUAGCAGAGCGAAUUUUGCUGUAAACAAGCUUAUCAGCCAACUUAUGCACUGGCAACAAGA